Molecule: non-coding RNA, 239 nt
Organism: Leptonychotes weddellii (Weddell seal)
Lineage: Eukaryota; Metazoa; Chordata; Mammalia; Carnivora; Phocidae
Source: RefSeq, a predicted model, not a curated record
GGUGCUGCCCAGGGGGUUGGCGUUUUCGCAGUCCGACGACCUGGAUUCAAAUUCUGGUGCCGCCCUCUUAGCUAGAACCCCUGGAACAUAAUGAUAAAACACCGGCAGGUGCAGCGAAGGGGCCGCCGCUCACAGAUGACAACAAGUUUCACAGAUCCCGCCAUCUCCAUGGACCUCCUCCGAGCUGUCCUGCAGCCUAGCAUCAAUGAGGAGAUCCAGACUGUCUUCAACAAGUACAU